GCGUGAUUAAAACCAGUUUACACAUUUUCUUCCUUGGGCACGAAUUUAGUUUCUCCAUUUAAUUCCCACCAACUAAGAACAUUUCAGAGCAGCGACGCUCAUUGUUGAUCUUUCUUCGAGAUUUGGGAAUGACUAGUAAUAAGGUCUUGUUUUGUUCACCUCAAAAACUAAAAACUUUUCAAAAUUCUCCGUCACAUCGAAUCUUGCGGUACAUGU
RNAcentral lists this long non-coding RNA (216 nucleotides) under Sorghum bicolor (sorghum). RNAcentral's name for it is "long non-coding RNA (SBIC_LNC003973)". The record is from RNAcentral. Lineage: Eukaryota; Viridiplantae; Streptophyta; Magnoliopsida; Poales; Poaceae.